RNAcentral lists this ribosomal RNA (440 nucleotides) under uncultured bacterium. Its description in RNAcentral is "partial 16S ribosomal RNA". It matches the Rfam family "Bacterial small subunit ribosomal RNA", at positions 338 to 795 of the family's 1533-position model. The record is from RNAcentral.
CCUACGGGAGGCAGCAGUGGGGGAUAUUGCACAAUGGGGGAAACCCUGAUGCAGCGACGCCGCGUGAGUGAAGAAGUAUUUCGGUAUGUAAAGCUCUAUCAGCAGGGAAGAAAAUGACAGUACCUGACCACGCCGCCCCGGCUACCUACGUGCCAGCCGCCGCGGUAAUACGUAGGGGGCAGGCGUUAUCCGGAUUUACUGGGUGUAAAGGGAGCGUAGACGGUUAUGUAAGUCUGGAGUGAAAGCCGGGGGCCCAACCCCGGGACUGCUUUGGAAACUGUGUAACUGGAGUACAGGAGGGGCAGGCGGAAUUCCUGGUGUAGCGGUGAAAUGCGUAGAUAUCAGGAGGAACACCGGCGGCGAAGGCGGCCUGCUGGACUGAAACUGACGUUGAGGCUCGAAAGCGUGGGGAGCAAACAGGAUUAGAUACCCUGGUAGUC